This is a long non-coding RNA of Pyrus x bretschneideri (Chinese white pear), 432 nucleotides long. RefSeq lists it as uncharacterized. The record is from RefSeq and is a predicted model, not a curated record. Lineage: Eukaryota; Viridiplantae; Streptophyta; Magnoliopsida; Rosales; Rosaceae. The transcript is spliced from 3 exons.
ACUUUAGUCCAAUCUCCAAAUGCAUAAAGCGCAUCAUAUUCCUAUUCUUCUUUAUCCAUGUCAAGAUGAUCCAGCUUAAUCCAAUCCUAGCAUAGAGGAUAGAGAGGGCAGAGCUCUUGAAUUGUUUUUGUUUAUAUUUAUUUUGUGGUUAGGUGCCACUGUAACUCAUUUCCUGAACUGCCUCCUCUUGCGAAAUUGGAGCUCUGUGAUUUUCGCCUUCUGCUCGUGUUGGGAUUCGUUCAACGACUUCCGACUUUCAACCCGUGCAAACUAGAAGCACGUGCUUUAACUUGAACAUUGAAGAGAGUGUUGGGGGUUUAAAAAUGCUUCACUACUUGGAGAGGUUUAUCUCACAAAGAAAAAUGUAACGCAGCGGAAUUGAUAGGCAAGAGAAAGAAAGAAUUCUCAAAGUAUUACGCAAGGUUUUUAUUC